AAGCUCAUAGGUGAAGAAAAAGCAAAGCCACGGAGAUUCCUGUCCAAGUUGGGAGUUUCCUCCCCUGCAAUACACCGAUGUUUCGGUCGGAUGUAGUCCGAGCACGUACGUUUGACCUUGCAUCACGGUGAACUUUGCCUAGGUAGGACGUUAUCUGAGAAAAUUCAGAUGAUUGUGUUCGCAAAGGUUCUGACGUGAAAAUCGAUAAUCAGAUGCUGGUUGAUUGAUUGAAUAUUAACGUCGCACUGUUCAGCUACACGAGGGUUUUCGGCGACGGACCACGUAAUUUUGAACCAUGGUCAAGUGACGUGGACGACACCUGAGCUGGCACCCCCUCUCCUAACUACCACACCACACCAACGGGAGGACGUUUCAGCUCUCGACAGAUUUAACGUGCAUCGCUGCCCUACACGGCGGGUCUUUAGUGGUACUGGGCUCGAACUCGUGACAAGGCAAGCCACGAUCCAAUACCUAUGCCACUCGGCUACCGCGGCCACAUCAGAUGCCGGUAUAUGGGUCAAAGAUAAUCUAAUUGAUGAUUCCCUCUGGUUUCGUUUAGAAUAGCUAAGACUCGAAGACAGUUUCAUCCGAUAAAGCGAAUGAUUAGAUGCUUUGGGGCUGAAAUGAUGAAACUGUCGGGAAAUUGUCUGAAACUAAAAGGGCGAAAAGUCCUACUUCGAUCGAAGGCCGGAUGCUUGCGUGACAGUGUUCAAUGGGUCGCUUUUGGUAAGCAGAACUGGCACUGUGAGAUGAAACAAGUACUGGGUUACGGCACCCGAUGUGAAACCUCUUGAAAGGUUUUGAUUGGUCUAAGUAGCAUGACAGUUACUGGCCGUGUGGACGUCGAAAUCUACCGAGGAGUGUGUAACAACUUACUUGCCGAAGCCUCUAGCUCUGAAAUUGAAUGAAUGAUGCUCCUACUUCGAGCCCAUAACCGUAUCACAGAUGUUUCUCCAGACUUAAGCGCAGUGUGUUGGAGUGUCGCGGCGAAGAAUGUUGAAUGUGUUCGGCGGGAACCCACAUGGAGUCUCUACCUUUGCACAUGUUGGUGCAAACGAAUAAUUGAUUGAAAAUCUUCAGGACUGAAGCUAGAUAUGAAUUUUUUUAAUUGACAUCGCUUUCCGAGAUCUAGUAGAAGAAAUCCUUUAAGAAACGAUACUUUGUAAAGUUUGAUUAAUGAUGCUCGCGCGUCUCGCAGUGAACUGAAAGGGAAUAAGACCAGUAUUCCUCUACAAGGACUUUAAGGUCUAUGCUUCGAAUGUGGUAAAGCAACCGAAUUCGGAGACGUCGGUGGAGUGAGUGAGAAAAAAAUUGCCUUUUCUUUGUUAGAGGUCAUGUCACUGGAAUCAUUUUGUUCCGAGACAUCAACCUCGUUAGAGCCUCACAGAUGUUCGAUGCCUAGUGCGCCUUUACUGGCCCUUGAAAUUCCGAGGCAGGAGACUGGUUUUCGUGCU
Non-coding RNA from Trichonephila inaurata madagascariensis, 1454 nucleotides. The record is from the annotation of a GenBank genome assembly. NCBI's taxonomy places the organism in Eukaryota, Metazoa, Arthropoda, Arachnida, Araneae, Nephilidae.